Molecule: long non-coding RNA, 439 nt
Organism: Hippocampus comes (tiger tail seahorse)
Lineage: Eukaryota; Metazoa; Chordata; Actinopteri; Syngnathiformes; Syngnathidae
Exons: 4
Source: RefSeq, a predicted model, not a curated record
GGGGCGUCUGUCCAUAUUAACACCGCAGUACACCUGCUCGGGUGACGUUUGACGCAAAGAAGAAAUGCGUCGAGGAUGGUUUUCACUUUUAAAGGCCUGCUAUGUGACCCCUGGAGGACGUUUUCAAGACAUUUGCAGCGACUCGCACCAGAAUUAGCCAAUGGGGUGCUUGGUUUGAAAUGUCACCAUAGAGACGAGCUUCAGGCAUCUUUCACUGAAGGUCAUCACAAGCGGCAUCGGAUCUGAGACUCCCUGUUGUCACCCCUCCUGUCCGCAAGACCACCCCGGGAAAUGGCCUCCCAAGUUUCCACAACGUGGACGGCUAGGACGUCCUUCAAGGUCUGUUUUGUGUGUGAAUGGACAAACUGGAUGUUUACAUGAUUAUUUAUAUAACAUCCUAUGUGUGGCACAAUAGAAGGAGGAAAAAAAAAAAAAAGCA